UGGGGAAUAUUGGGUAAUGGGCGCAAGCCUGACCCAGCAACGCCGCGUGAAGGAAGAAGGCCCUCGGGUUGUAAACUUCUUUUAUCAGGGACGAAGAAGUGACGGUACCUGAUGAAUAAGCCACGGCUAACUACGUGCCAGCAGCCGCGGUAAUACGUAGGUGGCAAGCGUUAUCCGGAUUUACUGGGUGUAAAGGGCGUGUAGGCGGGAGAGCAAGUCAGACGUGAAAUUCCAGGGCUCAACCCUGGAACUGCGUUUGAAACUGUUCUUCUUGAGUGAUGGAGAGGCAGGCGGAAUUCCGUGUGUAGCGGUGAAAUGCGUAGAUAUACGGAGGAACACCAGUGGCGAAGGCGGCCUGCUGGACAUUAGCUGACGCUGAGGCGCGAAAGCGUGGGGAGCAAACAGGAUUAGAUACC
RNAcentral lists this ribosomal RNA (416 nucleotides) under uncultured bacterium. RNAcentral's name for it is "bacterial SSU rRNA". It matches the Rfam family "Bacterial small subunit ribosomal RNA", at positions 355 to 786 of the family's 1533-position model. The record is from RNAcentral.